RNAcentral lists this ribosomal RNA (497 nucleotides) under uncultured bacterium. RNAcentral's name for it is "partial 16S ribosomal RNA". It matches the Rfam family "Bacterial small subunit ribosomal RNA", at positions 28 to 507 of the family's 1533-position model. The record is from RNAcentral.
GAUGAACGCUGGCGGCGUGCCUAAUACAUGCAAGUCGAGCGAACAGACGAGGAGCUUGCUCCUCUGACGUUAGCGGCGGACGGGUGAGUAACACGUGGAUAACCUACCUAUAAGACUGGGAUAACUUCGGGAAACCGGAGCUAAUACCGGAUAAUAUAUUGAACCGCAUGGUUCAAUAGUGAAAGACGGUUUUGCUGUCACUUAUAGAUGGAUCCGCGCCGCAUUAGCUAGUUGGUAAGGUAACGGCUUACCAAGGCAACGAUGCGUAGCCGACCUGAGAGGGUGAUCGGCCACACUGGAACGGAGACACGGUCCAGACUCCUACGGGAGGCAGCAGUAGGGAAUCUUCCGAAAUGGGCGAAAGCCUGACGGAGAAACGCCGCGUGAGUGAUGAAGGUCUUCGGAUCGUAAAACUCUGUUAUUAGGGAAGAACAAAUGUGUAAGUAACUAUGCACGUCUUGACGGUACCUAAUCAGAAAGCCACGGCUAACUACGUG